GAACCAACCAGCCCAGCUGCUUGAGACAGCACAAUGGAUCUUUGGCAAGUGCACUUAUAUUAGUAAAUCUGGCCCAAUAUCAAAUGAUAUCUCUCCCUCCAUGGUCUGGCCCUCUCACAGUUCAUUUCCACACAUUUCCCCAAGUUUCUGAUCAUCUCAGUUAGAAAACCUUGCAACCCUUUAACUCUUUUCCAUUUAUUUGGCAUGUAAGCUUCCAUCUCCUUGGUGGGAUGAUGCUCCCCGUCUCAUCUCCACUCUUCUCCAUUAUCUACGUACAGCUUUGGAAGGAAUACAGAGAGUAGGCAGGGACAUGAGGAGAAUUGGCAUCUUCUUACAAAAUAACAACCCCAGGAGAGGUCAUUACAGGGUCCUCAAUCAAGGCAGGAACCACUUCCCUCCACAGUGAAGGAGGACCUACACCUCUUGGCAAGGGUUCUCGGGAUUGAGGUAACUUGGAGUCAUUCAAGUCCACCCAAAAUUCCCUAUGCUGAUUCUUGGGAUUCCUCCAUUUGCAGUCAAUUCUCUAACAUUUAUAUAAGAGACAUUGUGAGACUGUCAAUUACUAUAAUUUAACAACCAUCAGGCCCAGAUUCUGCUCCAAUUUUGGGUUAUUCUAGGCCUGCUACAAGAAAAGAGAUUAUUUUAGGGUCCUCUGACCAUGCCCUGAAUGCAGCAUGUCUUUCUUUAAGCUCUCUAGCUGAUUAGAAGGCUCUAGUCCAUCAUCCCACAGCCCCUGCAUUCCUAUUUCUGAUGGCACUGGGUUGUGUAAAUAGGCACUCAGUUGUCCAGGGCUUCGCCUUCCCAGGUGACCACAGAUGACAAUUUAUGUGAAUGUUUUGUCAUUGCAUACUGUGAACUACAGUGUCUUGUCCUUUGAUAUUAACAGGAUCUAAUCCCAGAUUCCCACUUUCAGAGUGUUACUCAGUACUUGGUUGGGACCAGUUACUCAACAGAUUAGCAUUUAGUUGCAGACAAAAGAGGCCAUCUCAGUAAAUUAAUCAGAAGGGUAUUAUAUUUAUCACUGUGUUAAGAGUCUUUCAAAAUCAUUAUAAUGGUGGUGGAUGAUGUUCUAGCUAAGCUCCCAGGAAUAAUUUGUAAGGUCUAGGAUCACCAUUUUCCCACUGUGAUUGAGAAAGUAAUUUUUUUUGCCGUUGCAGGAAAUGUCUAUUUCAACAGCCAGGUCUUGGUGCCACACAGGUUAAUGUCUUUACCUGGUGAGUGUAUAUGAUUGGUGGAUCCUAAAUCACAUUCAUAUCUUAGCUCUAAGGAAUAGGGGUGACACAACUUUGAGCUUCGCAGCCUCUGCAGUAGAGGAAGGAACACUAGGAGGGAGUUGACACGGAUACUGAAUGAGACAAACAACAGUCUUUACCAUGGGUUUGGAAGUUAGGGUUUCCUCAAACUUUCACCUUAUUAGAUAUUAGCAUCCUUUUAAUUUUGGUCAGUUUAGUUAAUGAAGCUAUUUUCUUGUUAUUUUGACUUGCACUUUAUUAGUUGAAUGCUUUAUCCAAUUCUGGUGUUUCUUAUUUUUUCUUGAAAAAAAUCUCUGUUCAUUUUCUCUAGUUAGGUGUGUCUAUUUCUACUAUAUUGAUUUAUAAAAGCUUUUUACAUAUUUUAUCUUUUUGAAAGAUGGUCGUGGCAAAGUUUAACUUUUUUUACAUAUUCAAACAUUUUCCUUUUUUUCUGUCAUGUCUACUGCUUUUGGAGUUUAAUUUUAAAGGUUCUUUUCUACUUCAUGAUUAUGGAAAUAUUCAACCAUUUUUUGGGUGCAGUUUUUGGCUUUAUUUUUACAUUAAGUAAUUAAUUCAUCUGUAAUGUGUUUUGGAAUAUAAUAUGGAUUCAGAGUCCAACUUUGUGUUUUCCAGAUAGUAAUCCAGUCAUCCUCACACUAUUUGGAUCAUCUAUUCCUUAUCACUGACUGAAGGUGUUACUUUAUCAUAUACUGAAUUCCUAUAUGCACCUGAGUCUAAAUUGCCUAUUCUCUUCCAUUGAUCUUUCUGUUUCUGGAUCCGUAUCACACUUUAGCAUUCUUAUUUUUAAAAUGUGUUGUGGUUAUACUAAUACAUUAACUCAUGUCAAUAAAAUUUAGGAAAUUUUUGUCAAGAAUUAUAAAAUUCCAUAGGUAUUUUGAUUUGGAAAUUAACAAAGAAUGUAGAUCAACCCAUACAUAUUUGAUGCCUUCUUUCCUAGGAAUAUGGGAGGUGGUAAUGCUUGAUUAUUAAGGGUAUGAGCUGUAUGAGAAACUCAUCAGUUUGGGCCCCCGCUCUGCCAGGAUUUAUACUGUGAGGUCUCCUGCAAGUACUGCACUUUUUUUUUAUAUAUACUUUAAGUUCUAGGGUUCAUGUGCACAACGUGCAGGUUUGUUACAUAUGUAUACAUGUGCCAUGUUGGUGUGCUGCACGCAUCAACUCGUCAUUUGCAUUAGGUAUAUCUCCUAAUGCUAUCCCUCCCCCCUCACCCACCCCACGACAGGCCCUGGUGUGUGGUGUUCCCCUUCCUGUGUCCAAGUGUUCUCAUUGUUCAAUUCCCACCUAUGAGUAAGAACAUGCGGUGUUUGGUUUUCUGUCCUUGCGACAGUUUGCUGAGAACGAUGGUUUCCAGCAUCUUUUUAAUUGUUAGUUUUUUCAUCUGUAACAUGGGAAGAAAUAUUGCAGCUACUAAAAAGAUGUGGUGAGGAUUAAUGAACGGGCACUUGUAAAACUCUCAGAGGAGUACCUGUAGCAAAGUUUAGGCUGAAAAUGUAGUACCAGCAUGUCCUGCCAACAUUCUUGGUGAAGACGAUGAUACUACUUUUUAAGGCUGUAUUAGUCUGUUCUCAUGCUGCUAAUAAAGACAUACUCCAGUUCCCAAAAAGUCCCUCAUCUCCAUCUGAAACCUCCUUAGCCUUGACCUCAUUGUCCAUAUCACUAUCAGGAUGUUGGUCAGAGCCAUUCAACAAGUCUCUAGGAAGUUCCAAACUUUCCCACAUUUUCCUGCUUUCUUCUGAGCUCUCCAAACUGUUCCAUCCUCUGCCCUUUACCCAGUUCCAAAGUCACUUUCACAUUUUUGGGUGUCUUUACAGUAGCACCCCAUUCUACAGGUACCAAUUUACUGUAUUAGUUAGUUCUCACACUGCUAAUAAAUUACCUGAGACUCGGUCAUUUAUAAAAGAAAGAGGCUUAAUUAACUGACAGUUCCACAUGGUUGGGGAGGCCUCACAAUCAUGGCUGGAGGUAAAUGAGAAGCAAAGUCAUGCCUUACAUGGUGGCAGGCAAGAGAGGGAUGUGCAGGGGAACUCCCCUGUAUAAAACCAUCAGAACUCAUGAGACUUAUUUGCUAUCAUGACAACAGCAUGAGAAAAACCUGCCCCCAUAAUUCCAUCACCUCCCACCAGGUCCCUCCCACAACAGGUAAGGAUUAUUACAAUUCAAGGUGAGAUUUGGGUGGGGACACAGAGCCAAACUAUAUCAAAGGCGCACAGUAGAAUGUUGUAUCUUCAUUCAUUCAGGUGAUGAACAUUCUUCAUUACAUUUACUUCUUGGUAUUUUGUUAUUGUUGUUGUGUGCUAAAUAGCAGAGAAAGCACCACACUUUGAAAGAUGUAUAAGAUUAAGUUCGAUAAAUUAUAUUAUGUCUCUGUUUUUGGUUUAGAAAAUCCUAGUUUUAAUCUAUCUUACAUUAUGAAGCCUGAAAGUAAUAGAACAUAAUACUAUUCAGAACUCCAUAUUCUGGUCAAUGCUUAGUUGUCUCUUUAAAGCCUUACUUCUUCACUGGACUGCAAGUUCCCUGGGCUGGUGUGACCUCUUCCACUGCCAUGUAUCUCCUAUGGGCCUGGGUCUAGUGUGUGUUCGAUACAUAUUUGCAUGAACAAAUAAAUGGCUUCACCUGGAUAUCUCUUCAAAAGCAUCUAAUUUGCCUCUUUUUUCCCCACCUUUACAGACUUCCAGCUACAUCAAGCUUCUUGCUCUUUCCUGAAUACUCCAAGAUACUUAUUCCUCUGUGCCUUUUCACAUGCUAUUUCUUCUUGGUGUCAGAUCUUUGUACCUCUCUGUCAACUGGAAGACUGUCCUCAAACGACUUCCCACAAGAAACCUUUCCAGAGGGGUCACUAGCAGUGCACUGCGGAGGGAGCACCACCACCACUCGCCAAGGUCUUAAUAGACUCCGCGCUCCAUAAAGUGGACACCGAGCCAGUGACGGCGGAGAUGGCCCGGCGGGCGCCCACCGGCAUUGGCUGCGCUCCGAUUACUUCGUUAAGCAGUGUCAUGCUUCUUCUUCUUUUUUUUCUUUUUCUUUUCUUUUCUUUUUUUUUUUUAAUUUUUCCCUCCUACUGUGAGAACUGUUCACUUGGAGACUCCCUGUCUUAAUUACAAAGAGCCCUUUUAACCAUAGGUCACAGGACUUGGCUCUCUUGACAGGAAAUAAGGAAACAAGCUACCUUCCUGGAAAAAAAAAUUCAAACUUCUACUUCUCAAAUUAGUUAAAUGAAGCUUGUCGACGGUUGGGAGUUGAGCCUUAUGACAGUUGGCUAAUUGCAGUUGGUACAUUAACUAUGUUUUAACCAGAGCAGUUUGGGAUCUAAGUAGAUUAAAAAAAUAAAGCAAGCCUAGGCAUUUCCAACGAAAAACACUUAAAAUAACCACAAAGUUAAUAUUGGUUUUACUUGCUAUAUGUAUUACAAUACAAAAUGGAUUCCUGUAUCUUUAACAUUGUAAUUAAGUAAAUUUACAAAUAUUAACAUUUUUAAAAUGACACUAAAGCUACUUUAAAUCCUAGGAAGGCCUCUCUCUCUCUCUCUCUCUCUGCCCUUUCUUUUUUGAUUCUGCCUUCAAAAUGUCCUCUGUCUGUAUUUUUUAUAUUAAAUAUUCGCUGCAAAGUCUAUCUAGUAAAUAUCUGGUUCCAAGUCUGUGUACACCAUUCUCAAAUAUAAAACUUUUCAAAUGAAGAUAAACCUUUAGUUGAAUUGGUUUAUUUUCUGAUUUGAU
This is a long non-coding RNA of Homo sapiens (human), 4963 nucleotides long. The record is from Ensembl. NCBI's taxonomy places the organism in Eukaryota, Metazoa, Chordata, Mammalia, Primates, Hominidae.